GAAAUGCGAUAAGUAGUGUGAAUUGCAGAAUUCAGUGAAUCAUCGAAUCUUUGAACGCACAUUGCGCCCCUUGGUAUUCCAUGGGGCAUGCCUGUUCGAGCGUCAUCUACACCCUCAAGCUCUGCUUGGUGUUGGGCGUCUUUGUCCCGCCUCCGCGCGCGGACUCACCCCAAAUUCAUUGGCAGCGGUCCUUGCCUCCUCUCGCGCAGCACAUUGCGCUUGUCGAGGUGUUGCGGCCCGCGUCCAGAAAGCAAUCGUUACCGUCUUUGACCUCGGAUCAGGUAGGGAUACCCGCUGAACUUAAGC
Molecule: unclassified non-coding RNA, 306 nt
Filed under: plant metagenome
Description: partial contains 5.8S ribosomal RNA, internal transcribed spacer 2, and large subunit ribosomal RNA
Rfam family: 5.8S ribosomal RNA (bases 1-105)
Source: RNAcentral